GAUGAACGCUGGCGGCGUGCCUAAUACAUGCAAGUCGAGCGAAUAGACGAGGAGCUUGCUCCUCUGACGUUAGCGGCGGACGGGUGAGUAACACGUGGAUAACCUACCUUUAAGACUGGGAUAACUUCGGGAAACCGGAGCUAAUACCGGAUAAUAUAUUGAACCGCAUGGUUCAUUAGUGAAAGACGGUUUUGCUGUCCCUUAUAGAUGGAUCCGCGCCGCAUUAGCUAGUUGGUAAGGUAACGGCUUACCAAGGCAACGAUGCGUAGCCGACCUGAGAGGGUGAUCGGCCACACUGGAACUGAGACACGGUCCAGACUCCUACGGGAGGCAGCAGUAGGGAAUCUUCCGCAAUGGGCGAAAGCCUGACGGAGCAACGCCGCGUGAGUGAUGAAGGUCUUCGGAUCGUAAAACUCUGUUAUUAGGGAAGAACAAAUGUGUAAGUAACUAUGCACGUCUUGACGGUACCUAAACAGAAAGCCACGGCUAACUACGUG
Molecule: ribosomal RNA, 497 nt
Filed under: uncultured bacterium
Lineage: Bacteria
Description: partial 16S ribosomal RNA
Rfam family: Bacterial small subunit ribosomal RNA
Source: RNAcentral